GCCCAACAGGCAUCUAACUGAUAACUUCCACGGUACCCCACAAGGCUUAUCUACUAAGCCAUUUAACUACCUGUCUGCAGAUCUCUGCGCUAGGCCACCCGGCUAACGGGUUUGUAUAUAGUUCAUGUUUUAUUGUUAUACAUUGUCACCCAGCCCCACACCACCUCACCCUACCCACAAAACCACAGUAGAACAGCAAAAGACAGGGAUAAUUGUCGAGAAGGAACCCCACGCACUACAACCCGUCAAACAAUUACUAGCGAAAUGUCA
Molecule: non-coding RNA, 270 nt
Organism: Pelobates cultripes (western spadefoot toad)
Lineage: Eukaryota; Metazoa; Chordata; Amphibia; Anura; Pelobatidae
Source: the annotation of a GenBank genome assembly